RNAcentral lists this transfer RNA (73 nucleotides) under Friedmanniomyces endolithicus. RNAcentral describes it as "tRNA-His". It matches the Rfam family "tRNA". Rfam says of the family: Transfer RNA (tRNA) molecules are approximately 80 nucleotides in length. Lineage: Eukaryota; Fungi; Ascomycota; Dothideomycetes; Mycosphaerellales; Teratosphaeriaceae. RNAcentral also lists the same sequence under 1 other name. The record is from RNAcentral.
GUGGAUGUAGCUCAAUAGGUAGAGCAACUGUAUGUGGCACAGUAGGUUUUCUGUUCAAAUCAGGGUAUCCACC